Nycticebus coucang (slow loris) is the source of this 735-nucleotide long non-coding RNA. RefSeq lists it as uncharacterized. The record is from RefSeq and is a predicted model, not a curated record. The transcript has 3 exons. Lineage: Eukaryota; Metazoa; Chordata; Mammalia; Primates; Lorisidae.
CGCGCGCGCGCGUCCGCGCCCGGACCGUCUGCCUCGGCUGCUCGCUCUCUUGCUUCCUGCCUCACGCCACGGUCCUGUUCCUUUCCACUGGUUCCUUCCCGCCCGCCUCCCUUGCCGGCCCUCAGGAAGAACUCCCGAACCUGGAACACAGUGGCCCUUCUAAUCCCUCAACUCCUAAAUCACGUAACAUCAGCAUCGCUCACAAUCACCAGUGUUCAUCUGAUCUCAAGCACUGUACGUGAGCUGGCGCACAUACCAGGCUCAGCUCAGAGAAUCUAAGUUUGUGGAGGGCAAGGAAGUUGUUCCACAAUGUCAUAAAUAGCUAUUUGGCUGAAUUCCUCAAUCCUUCCCUCCUGUGGCUCUCCUGUGACGCUAAACUUCAGUUUCCAUGACGGUUGUGGCAAAAUAUCAACACUGGAUGAGUACAAAGGCCCACAUUUGGCAGCUGUCUCAUGCACCCAUUGCCUAUUCAUCACCAAAACCUACAGAGCUCCAAGUGCCAUUCACAGCAGACAGUGCUGAGACCCUCUGCUCCAGUAGAAGGGCGGAUACAUAAUGAGCAACCACAAAGCGAUGGGACAGAGGCCGUAAUACCAGCUGAAAGUUGGAAGAUGUGACAUCCUUCUUCAUUGCUUAAUUAAAACUCAGAACAAAAUGCUUUUAGGGAUCAAGGGGCUAAAUGACCUGGGAUUGUGUAGUAAUAAGUGUUGUAGUUACUCAUUACACCCCAACGAA